GGGCUGGGGCUCAGUGGUAGAGUGCUUGCCUAGCAUGCAUGAGGCACUGGGUUCAAUUCUCAGCACCACA
RNAcentral lists this transfer RNA (70 nucleotides) under Marmota monax (woodchuck). RNAcentral describes it as "tRNA.Ala". The stretch from base 5 to 65 matches the Rfam family "tRNA", at positions 6 to 65 of the family's 71-position model. Rfam says of the family: Transfer RNA (tRNA) molecules are approximately 80 nucleotides in length. The record is from RNAcentral. Lineage: Eukaryota; Metazoa; Chordata; Mammalia; Rodentia; Sciuridae.